This 492-nucleotide ribosomal RNA is filed under the name uncultured bacterium. RNAcentral's name for it is "partial 16S ribosomal RNA". It matches the Rfam family "Bacterial small subunit ribosomal RNA", at positions 29 to 507 of the family's 1533-position model. The record is from RNAcentral.
AGUGAACGCUGGCGGUAGGCCUAACACAUGCAAGUCGAACGGCAGCACAGUAAGAGCUUGCUCUUACGGGUGGCGAGUGGCGGACGGGUGAGGAAUACAUCGGAAUCUACUUUUUCGUGGGGGAUAACGUAGGUAAACUUACGCUAAUACCGCAUACGACCUACGGGUGAAAGCAGGGGAUCUUCUGACCUUGCGCGAUUGAAUGAGCCGAUGUCGGAUUAGCUAGUUGGCGGGGUAAAUGCCCACCAAGGCGACGAUCCGUAGCUGGUCUGAGAGGAUGGUCAGCCACACUGGAACUGAGACACGGUCCAGACUCCUACGGGAGGCAGCAGUGGGGAAUAUUGGACAAUGGGCGCAAGCCUGAUCCAGCCAUACCGCGUGGGUGAAGAAGGCCUUCGGGUUGUAAAGCCCUUUUGUUGGGAAAGAAAAGCAGCAGGUUAAUACCCCGCUGUUCUGACGGUACCCAAAGAAUAAGCACCGGCUAACUUCGUG